ACGCUCGACACCUACGGGAGCAGCAGUGGGGAAGUAUUGCACAAUGGGGGAAACCCGUGAUGCAGCGACGCCGCGUGAGCGAAGAAGUAUUUCGGUAUGUAAAGCUCUAUCAGCAGGGAAGAAAGUGACGGUACCUGACUAAGAAGCACCGGCUAAAUACGUGCCGGCAGCCGCGGUAAUCUGAGCGGGCUGGCAAGGC
RNAcentral lists this ribosomal RNA (199 nucleotides) under uncultured bacterium. Its description in RNAcentral is "partial 16S ribosomal RNA". It matches the Rfam family "Bacterial small subunit ribosomal RNA", at positions 328 to 539 of the family's 1533-position model. The record is from RNAcentral.